RNAcentral lists this ribosomal RNA (543 nucleotides) under Triticum aestivum (bread wheat). Its description in RNAcentral is "partial small subunit ribosomal RNA". Lineage: Eukaryota; Viridiplantae; Streptophyta; Magnoliopsida; Poales; Poaceae. The record is from RNAcentral.
AUGCUUGGGUGUAGGCCUGCUUCAACACCUAUUGACCAGAAUCAUAAGUUAUGUGCUGAAUCUGGGGAACCGGUGGAUAAGGAGAAGUACCAGAGACUUGUUGGAAGGCUCAUCUACCUAUGUCAUACACGACCCGAUAUCUCAUAUGCAGUGAGUGUGGUGAGCAGAUACAUGCAUGAUCCUAGGAGUGGACACUUAGAGGCUGUCUAUCGAAUCCUCCGAUAUCUGAAGGGUAAUCCAGGAAGGGGGCUAUGGUUUAAGAAGAAUGGGCAUCUUAAUAUAGAUGGAUACUGUGAUGCAGACUGGGGAAGUUGUUUGGAUGACAGAAGAUCAACUUCUGGUUAUUGUGUGUUUGUUGGGGGAAACUGGGUGUCAUGGCGAAGUAAGAAGCAGCCAGUGGUGUCCAAAUCAACAGCUGAAGCUGAAUAUAGAGCUAUUUCACAAGGCUUGAGUGAGAUGUUAUGGGUAAGAAAUCUUCUCUCUGAGUUAAAGAACCAAGCAUGUCGAGAUAGACCGCUUCUUCAUCAAGGAGAAGUUAGAUGA